This 206-nucleotide ribosomal RNA is filed under the name uncultured bacterium. RNAcentral's name for it is "partial 16S ribosomal RNA". It matches the Rfam family "Bacterial small subunit ribosomal RNA", at positions 568 to 774 of the family's 1533-position model. The record is from RNAcentral.
CGUGUAGGCGGUCCGGUAAGUCGGUUGUGAAAGUCCAGGGCUCAACCCUGGGAUGCCGAUCGAUACUGUCGGACUAGAGUUCGGAAGAGGCGAGUGGAAUUCCCGGUGUAGCGGUGAAAUGCGCAGAUAUCGGGAGGAACACCAAUGGCGAAGGCAGCUCGCUGGGACGUUACUGACGCUGAGACGCGAAAGCGUGGGAGCAAACA